UGAGUAACACGUAUCCAACCUGCCGUCUACUCUUGGACAGCCUUCUGAAAGGAAGAUUAAUACAAGAUGGCAUCAUGAGUCCGCAUGUUCACAUGAUUAAAGGUAUUCCGGUAGACGAUGGGGAUGCGUUCCAUUAGAUAGUAGGCGGGGUAACGGCCCACCUAGUCAACGAUGGAUAGGGGUUCUGAGAGGAAGGUCCCCCACAUUGGAACUGAGACACGGUCCAA
This 227-nucleotide ribosomal RNA is filed under the name uncultured bacterium. RNAcentral's name for it is "partial 16S ribosomal RNA". It matches the Rfam family "Bacterial small subunit ribosomal RNA", at positions 107 to 334 of the family's 1533-position model. The record is from RNAcentral.